RNAcentral lists this long non-coding RNA (524 nucleotides) under Oryza sativa (Asian cultivated rice). Its description in RNAcentral is "long non-coding RNA (OSAT_LNC000651)". The record is from RNAcentral. Lineage: Eukaryota; Viridiplantae; Streptophyta; Magnoliopsida; Poales; Poaceae.
AAGAAUCAGUGUUGUGCUAGUGCGCACCGCUUUAUGGGAAAGUAGCUACCAAAAAGAUACACUGUUGGCAAGGCAAUCGCGAAGGUGAUGCCCAUUUGCCUGCCCAUUUUGGAUCGCCUCAGGCAACUAAGGUAAAGAAUGAUUGCAUCUUUUUUAAGCUCUGUAUGCAUCUGUGACUAGGAAGUGUAUUCUUCAUGUCUUAUCCCUUUUGCAUAGCUGAGGGAGUUGGGCCGGGUGCAGUUUUGUGGAUGUGCUGAUCGUCAAGCCGCCGAGCCAGAUGAAAGAUUGCGAACUCCAUGCCCACAGGAAAUUUGCAAGUCCAUAAAGAUUCCGAGCAAAAACUAUUGUGGAGGUAAGAAUGCAUGUGCAUCUGUUUUAUACUCAGUACUGUCAGGAUAGUUGUUAGCCCGCUUCUAUUUUACUCAAGGUUGAUUAUCUGGGGUUUUCUUGCCUUUUUUUCGCUUAUGCUUAUCAGCUAAAAUUUAAAUUUUCAACCUUAAAUUUGAAAUUGAUUUUAAGAAUUU